RNAcentral lists this ribosomal RNA (260 nucleotides) under uncultured bacterium. RNAcentral's name for it is "partial 16S ribosomal RNA". It matches the Rfam family "Bacterial small subunit ribosomal RNA", at positions 524 to 777 of the family's 1533-position model. The record is from RNAcentral.
UACGUAGGGCGCAAGCGUUAUCCGGAAUUAUUGGGCGUAAAGAGCUCGUAGGCGGUUUGUCGCGUCUGCCGUGAAAGUCCGGGGCUCAACUCCGGAUCUGCGGUGGGUACGGGCAGACUAGAGUGAUGUAGGGGGAAGACUGGAAUUCCUGGUGUAGCGGUGAAAUGACGCAGAUAUCAGGAGGAACACCGGUGGCGAAGGCGGGGUCUCUGGGCAGUAACUGACGCUGAGGAGCGAAAAGCGUGGGGGAGCAAACAGGG